ACUCCUACGGGAGGCAGCAGUAGGGAAUCUUCGGCAAUGGACGAAAGUCUGACCGAGCAACGCCGCGUGAGUGAUGAAGGCCUUCGGGUCGUAAAGCUCUGUGGGGAGGGACGAAAGGCCGGCGGAAUAAUACGACGUCGGGUUGACGGUACCUCCUUAGCAAGCACCGGCUAACUCCGUGCCAGCAGCCGCGGUAAU
RNAcentral lists this ribosomal RNA (198 nucleotides) under uncultured Pseudomonadota bacterium. Its description in RNAcentral is "uncultured proteobacterium partial 16S ribosomal RNA". It matches the Rfam family "Bacterial small subunit ribosomal RNA", at positions 335 to 524 of the family's 1533-position model. Lineage: Bacteria; Pseudomonadati; Pseudomonadota. The record is from RNAcentral.